UCUGGUACUAACAUGCUGGGUCUGGACCAUACACUCUGAGGGAAGUAAAUUCCUUAACUGAUCCUUAAACUCCCCACCCUCCAACUGCCACCUCCUUCAGCUAGAAUCACCUGAAGUCAGCUUUGCAUUUCCAUGGAUCGCUAACUCUUCUUUUGCUUCUCCAGCUCAGGACCACUCCAAUGACCCACCUAACAAGAUGAAUGAAGUUACUUAUUCUACCCUGAACUUUGAAGCCCAGCAACCCACACAACCAACUUCAGCCUCCCCAUCCCUAACAGCCACAGAAAUAAUUUAUUCAGAAGUAAAAAAGCAGUAAUGAAA
RNAcentral lists this long non-coding RNA (321 nucleotides) under Homo sapiens (human). RNAcentral describes it as "non-protein coding lnc-CEACAM8-3:3". The record is from RNAcentral. Lineage: Eukaryota; Metazoa; Chordata; Mammalia; Primates; Hominidae.